RNAcentral lists this ribosomal RNA (228 nucleotides) under uncultured archaeon. Its description in RNAcentral is "partial 16S ribosomal RNA". It matches the Rfam family "Archaeal small subunit ribosomal RNA", at positions 23 to 246 of the family's 1478-position model. The record is from RNAcentral.
GCCACUGCUAUUGGGGUUCGGCUAAGCCAUGCGAGUGGAGGGCGUCCCGCAAGGGAUGGCCCCGCAGACGGCUCAGUAACACGUCGUCAACCCACCUUAGGGUGGGGGACAACCUCGGGAAACUGAGGAUAAUCCCCCAUAGGCGGGGGAGGCUGGAAUGCGCCCCCGCUGAAAGCUCUGGCGCCCUAGGACGGGACGGCGGCCUAUCAGGUAGUUGGUGGUGUGACG